This 522-nucleotide ribosomal RNA is filed under the name uncultured bacterium. RNAcentral describes it as "bacterial SSU rRNA". It matches the Rfam family "Bacterial small subunit ribosomal RNA", at positions 26 to 518 of the family's 1533-position model. The record is from RNAcentral.
CGAGGACGAACGCUGGCGGCGUGCCUAAUACAUGCAAGUCGAACGGUCUUUCUAUGGAAGCUUGCUUCCACUGAGAAGAUAGUGGCGAACGGGUGAGUAACACGUGGGUAACCUGCCCAUAAGAGGGGGGAUAACAUCCGGAAACGGGUGCUAAUACCGCAUAGUUUUCUUGAUCGCAUGAUCGGGAAAGGAAAGACGGCCUUUGUGCUGUCGCUUAUGGAUGGACCCGCGGCGUAUUAGUUAGUUGGUGAGGUAACGGCUCACCAAGACGAUGAUACGUAGCCGACCUGAGAGGGUGAUCGGCCACAUUGGGACUGAGACACGGCCCAAACUCCUACGGGAGGCAGCAGUAGGGAAUCUUCCGCAAUGGACGAAAGUCUGACGGAGCAACGCCGCGUGAGUGAAAGAAGGUUUUCGGAUCGUAAAACUCUGUUGUCAGAGAAGAACAAGUUGGAGAGUAACUGCUCCAGCCUUGACGGUAUCUGACCAGAAAGCCACGGCUAACUACGUGCCAGCCGCCGC